GACGAACGCUGGCGGCGUGCUUAACACAUGCAAGUCGAACGGAAAGGCCCUGCUUUUGUGGGGUGCUCGAGUGGCGAACGGGUGAGUAACACGUGAGUAACCUGCCCUUGACUUUGGGAUAACUUCAGGAAACUGGGGCUAAUACCGGAUAGGAGCUCCUGUUGCAUGGUGUGGGCUGGAAAGUUUCGGCGGUUGGGGAUGGACGCGCGGCUUAUCAGCUUGUUGGUGGGGUAGGGGCUUACCAAGGAUUGGGCGGGUAGCCGGCCUGAGAGGGUGACCGGCCACAUUGGGCCUGGGGUGCGGCCCGGACUACUACGGGGGGCAGCGGUGGAGAAUAUUGCGCAAUAGGCCGAAGCCUGAUGCAGCAACGCCGCGUGCGGGAUGUCGGCCUUCGGGUUGUAAACCGCUUUCGCCUGUGACGAAGCGUGAGUGACGGUAAUGGGUAAAGAAGCACCGGCUAACUACGUG
RNAcentral lists this ribosomal RNA (468 nucleotides) under uncultured bacterium. RNAcentral's name for it is "partial 16S ribosomal RNA". It matches the Rfam family "Bacterial small subunit ribosomal RNA", at positions 28 to 507 of the family's 1533-position model. The record is from RNAcentral.